RNAcentral lists this small nucleolar RNA (108 nucleotides) under Olea europaea subsp. europaea. Its description in RNAcentral is "Plant small nucleolar RNA R71". It matches the Rfam family "Plant small nucleolar RNA R71". Rfam says of the family: R71 is a member of the C/D box family of snoRNAs containing the C (UGAUGA) and D (CUGA) box motifs. Multiple nearly identical copies of this snoRNA have been identified in Arabidopsis, and it is thought to function as a 2'-O-ribose methylation guide for 18S ribosomal RNA. Lineage: Eukaryota; Viridiplantae; Streptophyta; Magnoliopsida; Lamiales; Oleaceae. The record is from Rfam by way of RNAcentral.
UAACCGCGAUGGGGGCAGAGGCCUUGCAAUUCUUUGUACCUUUCCCACGCUUGAUAUAAAGUUUCACUCUCCUUUUGAGUAAAAGACGAGAUUUGCUUUUUCAAUGCA